UGAGAGCGAUCUGGCUGUGACAUCUGUCACCCUGAUGAGCUGAUGGUCGCCAGAGUUGAUUUGUUUGAUCUGGCUGGCUAAUCCCCUUCAUCCCUCA
RNAcentral lists this small RNA (97 nucleotides) under Cavia aperea (Brazilian guinea pig). RNAcentral describes it as "7SK RNA (ENSCAPG00000002056.1)". The record is from RNAcentral. Lineage: Eukaryota; Metazoa; Chordata; Mammalia; Rodentia; Caviidae.